UGAGGACUAGUAUCAACGGCAUCACGAGGAUCCUACUGUCUCCCCCCUCUAAUCAGUGAAACUGAUCUCCCCGUGAAGAAGCGGGGAUAUACAUAUAAGACGAGAAGACCCCAUGGAGCUUUAAACCUGACAGCACCCGCUCAUUCUAUACCCCAUUAUUUGCCCGACCCCUGUCUGCUCAGUUUUAGGUUGGGGUGACCACGGAGUAUAAAAUAACCUCCAUGAAGAAGGGGAUAUUUCCCUUAUUAGAGAACCACACUUCCAAGAACUAAUAAAUUAAUUUUCAAUGACCCGAUACCCGAUAAUCGAUCAACGAACCAAGUUACCCUGGGGAUAACAGCGCAAUCCACCCUGAAAGCCCUUAUUAACAGGUGGGUUUACGACCUC
RNAcentral lists this ribosomal RNA (387 nucleotides) under Boophis quasiboehmei. RNAcentral describes it as "partial 16S ribosomal RNA". It matches the Rfam family "Bacterial large subunit ribosomal RNA", at positions 1981 to 2527 of the family's 2925-position model. The record is from RNAcentral. Lineage: Eukaryota; Metazoa; Chordata; Amphibia; Anura; Mantellidae.